GAUGAACGCUAGCGAUAGGCCUAACACAUGCAAGUCGAGGGGCAUCACAUGAAGUAGCAAUACGGAUGGUGGCGACCGGCGCACGGGUGAGUAACACGUAUGCAACCUGCCUUCAACAAGGGGAUAACCCGUUGAAAGACGGACUAAUACCCUAUAACACAGGGGUCCCGCAUGGGGAUAUUUGUUAAAGGACAACCGGUUGAAGAUGGGCAUGCGUUCCAUUAGCUAGUUGGCGGGGUAAGGGCCCACCAAGGCAACGAUGGAUAGGGGAACUGAGAGGUUUAUCCCCCACACUGGUACUGAGACACGGACCAGACUCCUACGGGAGGCAGCAGUGAGGAAUAUUGGUCAAUGGACGCAAGUCUGAACCAGCCACGUCGCGUGAAGGAAGACGGCCCUACGGGUUGUAAACUUCUUUUGCAAGGGAAUAAAGUGGGCCACGUGUGGCCUUUUGCAAGUACCUUGCGAAUAGGAUCGGCUAACUCCGUGCCAGCAGCCGCGGUAAGUACGC
This 511-nucleotide ribosomal RNA is filed under the name uncultured bacterium. RNAcentral's name for it is "bacterial SSU rRNA". It matches the Rfam family "Bacterial small subunit ribosomal RNA", at positions 28 to 528 of the family's 1533-position model. The record is from RNAcentral.